GGGAAAGAAUGAUGCUGAUGAAUUACAAACAGGCUCUGCGUGUCUUAAACCAGAUUCUCCAGCCAGAGCUCCAUUCAGCACUUCCACUCAGCACUCAGUGAUGGACGGGGGUCCUAAAGUAAAUUGCUUGAGAAGACUGGAUCCCGGAGAUUACAAAUUUGAAUUUGGAAUUUUGAAGUGUGUCCGUAUUCCACUGGAGAUCAAAGACGCUGAACCAAAAGAACUGUGAACUGGCCGACAUGACAGCCGUGGACUGGGCCAAGCUUCUUUUUGAGAGGGCAGCUUAGCUCGAUGAUUAUGACUUUGGUGGAACUAAGGUGACUGACAGUGGAAAGAACUGGGACAUGAAAGUCCUUAAAAAGUUAUUGAUGAUUUUGUUUAUGUUACACACCUUUACACUUUGUGCAGGAAAAAAAAGAAAGGACAGUGGUGUGGAAAUGGACUACAGGCUCCUCCGUCUGUGGAAUUCUCCAGGCAAGAAUACUGGAGUGGGUUGCCAUGCUCUCCUCCAGGGCCUCUUCCCAACCCAGGGAUUGAACCCACAUCUCUUGCAUCUCCUGCAUUGGCAGGCAGGUUCUUUACCACUGAGCCACCUGGAAAACCCAAUAAAAAUGCAGGUGUGGUCCAUCCUGUCCUGGGGGAUCCUAGACCUGAUAACUUCCCAGGGGAGCUCCAGGCAGCAGAUGGCAGUUUAACACAUGAACUUCUGGUCAAGCAGAGAAGCUGCAAGAGGACAAGGGCUUUGUCUGCUCACUGCUGCAUCCUUAGAACCAAAAACAUUUGUGAAAGGAAGGAAAGGAGGAAAGGAGGAAGGGAGGG
Molecule: long non-coding RNA, 819 nt
Organism: Bos taurus (domestic cattle)
Lineage: Eukaryota; Metazoa; Chordata; Mammalia; Artiodactyla; Bovidae
Source: Ensembl